CUGGCUCAGGAUGAACGCUAGCGACAGGCUUAACACAUGCAAGUCGAGGGGCAGCAUAGAAGUAGCAAUACUUGGUGGCGACCGGCGCACGGGUGAGUAACGCGUAUGCAACCUACCUAUCAGAGGGGAAUAACCCGGCGAGAGUCGGACUAAUACCGCAUAAAACAGGGACACCGCAUGGUGAUAUUUGUUAAAGAAAUUCGCUGAUAGAUGGGCAUGCGUUCCAUUAGGUAGUUGGUGAGGUAACGGCUCACCAAGCCGACGAUGGAUAGGGGAACUGAGAGGUUGGUCCCCCACACUGGUACUGAGACACGGACCAGACUCCUACGGGAGGCAGCAGUGAGGAAUAUUGGUCAAUGGGCGAGAGCCUGAACCAGCCAAGUCCGCGUGAAGGAAGAAGGACCUAUGGUUCGUAAACUUCUUUUGCAGGGGAAUAAAGUGCAGGACGUGUCCUGUUUUGUAUGUACCCUGAGAAUAAGGAUCGGCUAACUCCGUGCCAGCAGCCGC
This 507-nucleotide ribosomal RNA is filed under the name uncultured bacterium. RNAcentral describes it as "bacterial SSU rRNA". It matches the Rfam family "Bacterial small subunit ribosomal RNA", at positions 19 to 518 of the family's 1533-position model. The record is from RNAcentral.